UACCUACAAGACGGAGGCUCGGCUACAAUUCGGAGAUUUCUUUGUGAAGAAGGAUGAACUGUCAAUGGAUGAUCAGCCUAGAAGUCGGUGGCGAAAGUGAGACUAAGUAGCUACAGUCAACUUCAGAGCGAGCCUUGUGAAGAUGUCUGCAACUUCAUACUGAGCUGGACUCUGAGGCCUCGUCGCCGGAUGUUUGAAGGUGGAAGGUCACCAUGCAUGACUGACAAAACAUAAAGGAUUGAAGCCGAGACCCAAGGUUGACCCAAUCACACCCGCCGAACCCCUUCAGGGCAAGGCAGUCAAUUGGACGGGAGCUCGGAUUUCGGCCUUGGGGGAUCUCCUAGUCGUGCCUUGCAUCUGGUUUGCUUUCACAGCUACACACCUGGUGUCGGUUGGGUAUCUCUAUACCCUUCGCACUAGACUGGCUAGGGCUUAGGGCUCACCAAUAGGUACUCACCUCCCUGCUUAUACCCGGCAGGGAGGGUUACACAUCCCUGGGCCUAUCCACCCGGGGAGAUAGGUUUUAUAAUUAGACCCCACCUUGCUUAGCUCGGUAGCCCUUUCCCUCACGGGAAAAUGGCCGAAAUGGUAAAGUUUUUCUUUGAGGUCCUCCUCCAGGAGACCAGGACCAAGACAUUGUCACAAAAUAUGGCGAAAUGAUAAGCGCCCUUGAUAUCAAGGACCCGCGCCUAGCGCGCUAUUGUGUUACCGAUAUCGGCUCAACAAAAGAGGCCGGCGCAGCUGUGUCGCGCCCCAUUGUUGAGCCUAUAAUUGUCUCUUCGGGGAAAACCGCCGCAUUAGCGGAAACGGUAAUCCCCAAUACAAUGGUCGAUG
Long non-coding RNA from Helicoverpa zea (corn earworm), 834 nucleotides. RefSeq lists it as uncharacterized. The transcript is spliced from 4 exons. The record is from RefSeq and is a predicted model, not a curated record. Lineage: Eukaryota; Metazoa; Arthropoda; Insecta; Lepidoptera; Noctuidae.